GCGCCUGUAGCUCAGUGGAUAGAGCGCUGCCCUCCGGAGGCAGAGGCCGCAGGUUCGAAUCCUGCCGGGCGCG
Molecule: transfer RNA, 73 nt
Filed under: Actinomycetes bacterium
Lineage: Bacteria; Bacillati; Actinomycetota; Actinomycetes
Also listed under: 1 other name
Description: Actinobacteria bacterium tRNA-Arg
Rfam family: tRNA
About the family: Transfer RNA (tRNA) molecules are approximately 80 nucleotides in length. Their secondary structure includes four short double-helical elements and three loops (D, anti-codon, and T loops). Further hydrogen bonds mediate the characteristic L-shaped molecular structure. tRNAs have two regions of fundamental functional importance: the anti-codon, which is responsible for specific mRNA codon recognition, and the 3' end, to which the tRNAs corresponding amino acid is attached (by aminoacyl-tRNA synthetases). tRNAs cope with the degeneracy of the genetic code in two manners: having more than one tRNA (with a specific anti-codon) for a particular amino acid; and 'wobble' base-pairing, i.e. permitting non-standard base-pairing at the 3rd anti-codon position.
Source: RNAcentral